This 319-nucleotide ribosomal RNA is filed under the name Stutzerimonas marianensis. RNAcentral describes it as "partial 23S ribosomal RNA". It matches the Rfam family "Eukaryotic large subunit ribosomal RNA", at positions 1276 to 1577 of the family's 3401-position model. Lineage: Bacteria; Pseudomonadati; Pseudomonadota; Gammaproteobacteria; Pseudomonadales; Pseudomonadaceae. The record is from RNAcentral.
GAGUGUGUAACAACUCACCUGCCGAAUCGACUAGUCCUAAAAAUGGAUGGCGCUCGAGCGAGCCUCUUAUACUUGACUGUUACGAUACAACAAGCCAUUUACGGACAUCAUGUCGUAACAAGUAGGACGGUUGAUAUGGUUGCGUCGAAGGCUAACACGUGAGUGUGGCUUGAGCAGUCAUAUGUACAGAUCUUAGUGGUAGUAGCAACUAUUCAAAUGAGAACUUUGAAGACUGACGUGGAGAAAGGUUCCAUGUGAACAGCUAUUGGACAUGGGUCAGUCAGUCCUAAGAUGCGCUCGAAAGAGGGUUCCGAACGAG